RNAcentral lists this ribosomal RNA (453 nucleotides) under Klebsiella pneumoniae. RNAcentral describes it as "bacterial SSU rRNA". It matches the Rfam family "Bacterial small subunit ribosomal RNA", at positions 93 to 542 of the family's 1533-position model. Lineage: Bacteria; Pseudomonadati; Pseudomonadota; Gammaproteobacteria; Enterobacterales; Enterobacteriaceae. The record is from RNAcentral.
GAGCGGCGGACGGGUGAGUAAUGUCUGGGAAACUGCCUGAUGGAGGGGGAUAACUACUGGAAACGGUAGCUAAUACCGCAUAACGUCGCAAGACCAAAGUGGGGGACCUUCGGGCCUCAUGCCAUCAGAUGUGCCCAGAUGGGAUUAGCUAGUAGGUGGGGUAACGGCUCACCUAGGCGACGAUCCCUAGCUGGUCUGAGAGGAUGACCAGCCACACUGGAACUGAGACACGGUCCAGACUCCUACGGGAGGCAGCAGUGGGGAAUAUUGCACAAUGGGCGCAAGCCUGAUGCAGCCAUGCCGCGUGUGUGAAGAAGGCCUUCGGGUUGUAAAGCACUUUCAGCGGGGAGGAAGGCGUUAAGGUUAAUAACCUUGGCGAUUGACGUUACCCGCAGAAGAAGCACCGGCUAACUCCGUGCCAGCAGCCGCGGUAAUACGGAGGGUGCAAGCGUU